AUGUUUCCUAGAGUUCCUCUGAGCACUUCAUUGGAGACACCAUUUUCUAUCAAACUGUAUUCAACUGAAGUGUUUGGGGGAACUCCCAGACUCAU
RNAcentral lists this microRNA precursor (95 nucleotides) under Eutrema salsugineum. Its description in RNAcentral is "mir-395 microRNA precursor family". It matches the Rfam family "mir-395 microRNA precursor family". From Rfam's summary of the family: mir-395 was identified in both Arabidopsis thaliana and Oryza sativa computationally and was later experimentally verified. mir-395 is thought to target mRNAs coding for ATP sulphurylases. The mature sequence is excised from the 3' arm of the hairpin. The record is from Rfam by way of RNAcentral. Lineage: Eukaryota; Viridiplantae; Streptophyta; Magnoliopsida; Brassicales; Brassicaceae.